Salmo salar (Atlantic salmon) is the source of this 54-nucleotide non-coding RNA. The record is from Rfam. NCBI's taxonomy places the organism in Eukaryota, Metazoa, Chordata, Actinopteri, Salmoniformes, Salmonidae.
UGCAUUCACUACUAUAAGUCGCUCUGAAUAAGAGCGUCUGCUAAAUGACAAAAA